This is a long non-coding RNA of Coregonus clupeaformis (lake whitefish), 1609 nucleotides long. RefSeq lists it as uncharacterized. The record is from RefSeq and is a predicted model, not a curated record. The transcript is spliced from 3 exons. Lineage: Eukaryota; Metazoa; Chordata; Actinopteri; Salmoniformes; Salmonidae.
CCCACUCAUUGGUCGCGUCUCCCUGCUCAGACAUUGCAUGCAUCAACCAAUGGUUGCGUGCCAUCAUCAACAUCGACUGACAGAUUGCUAUAACAUAUGAUGCGGUUAGCUGAUACGUAAAAUACCUAUCCAGGCGAGGUAAGAUCUGGCAGGCGUCAGCAACGCUGAAAUUACUCGUCUUAUCAAAGAUCCACUCACUUAUUUUGUGUGAGAAACCUACCCUCCUCUAAUAAGCUACUGUAGCAAAACAACAAAUUGUGUGUGUGUGUGUGUGUGUGUGUGUGUGUGUGUGUGUGUGUGUGUGUAUGUGUGAGGAAAGAGCUCGUCUGUGUAAUAAUCACCCAGCUGGAAGCCCCACGCUAACAUGAACGGAUACAGUGCAGGUGGAACAGCAGAGUUGCAUUUCUACUUCAUGGUGGAAUGAUCCGAACGUGUAUUGCACCAGGGUGUUUUUUUCUUCUUCAAGGCUGACUGAUGACCAUGACAGCAGCCAUACAGCAUCAGAAGCCCAACAGCCAGAUAGAGGAAGUGUUCCAGGCCAGGAUCCAGGCCAGGACCCGGGGCAGAGUCAGAGUCAGCCUGUCCGUCUCCAUGACUCUAUACCCAGCCCUCCCCAACCUGCAUCCAGCCAUCCACACUCACUCCCCAUUUCUAUAUAUAGUCAGCCUGCCAGGGCUUGCUAAAAAUAGACCCAGUCUGCGCUCCCUCUCCUCUCCUUUCCUCUGUGGCUUCAUGGACUCUGAGACCCCCUCCCUCCCUCCCAGCUUGAUUUUCAGAGAUCCAGGUGAGGGAGUCUGGGGUUGAACCAAGAGGAUAUCAGCGGUAUGUUACACUGGCCCUGCACUGCACCUGCGCCAUAGUAGCAAUAUUCCACAAUUGGGGGCUGAAGAGGAAAUAACAGUGGAGGAAGACAGAGGAAAAGACGUGCAGCAGAGAUUCAUUAGAUUAGUUUACAACCCUCUAAUAGAAAUGAAUCUGAAAAUUGUUGUGUUGUGCACUGCUUGCAUAAGAUUGCAUUUGCCACAAAAUUGUUGUUAUGUGGAUAAAGACAGUGUGGGCACAGUAUGAUGACUGAUUAGAGAUUAAGAUGGUGUUUACAAUAUCUUCAUGCACAGUAAAACCAUGUCUCACUUCCGCAGGCUGACUGUAGCAGUAGGCCAAAAGGAAAUGAGUGGCUUGUUCAAAUGAACAUUAAAAAUAACCAAGGCUUGUUUUCUGUGUUAGUCAGGAAGGCUCCUGGGGAGCACAAAGCCAAAGAAUGUAGGAAAAACAAGUCACAUUUCCUUUUCCAGCUGCAGCGUGUUACAUAGGCAGGGUGAGAUGGGACAAUCACUUUAAACAAAGAACUCUCCCCUCAGCUACAUUAGUCUUCCUUUGCCUCCCAGUGUACCGGAUACAGCUAGAAGAGAGGAAGAGGCAACACACUCUCUCCAUCCUGAAAGACUAAAAUAUACCUAAUAGCUUAUCAUAACAUGGUAAUGAUAUGUCCUAAUUAUGUGUCAUCACGACACAUUCGCAGGAACAUUUCCAUAUUCUAUUCUAUUCUAUGAAUUGCUGUUUUCAACCAUCCCAGUACAAAAUAAAUAACCCAGAACAAAUAAAGAGCAUA